This 2161-nucleotide long non-coding RNA is filed under the name Capsicum annuum. RNAcentral describes it as "long non-coding RNA (CANN_LNC022236)". Lineage: Eukaryota; Viridiplantae; Streptophyta; Magnoliopsida; Solanales; Solanaceae. The record is from RNAcentral.
CGUAGUUUACCUAAAUAUGAAAAUUGAGGAUUAGAAGCGGGUUCGUCCGACCCACUUAGGCCAAGACUUGUAUAAGCCCUUGUGGACUUAGUUGUGGAUGUUAGGCCUAGUUGAGAAUAAUGAGCCUUAUUUAUGAGAUUUGCUUGGUGAAUUAAUAAUUAUGAUGACUUUUCCCGAAUUAUGAUUAAUGGCCUAUAGAGAUUUAAUUCCUCUUAGAUGCGAUAUUGGGCCUUUAGAGACACUAUUUCCUCUUAGAUAUGAUAUAUGGUCUAUAGAGACGAUAUUCCUCUUAGAUAUGAUGAUUGGCCUAGAGAGGUGAUAUUCCUUAUAGUCAUGAUGUGUGACAUAUUGAUAUGAGAUCCUAUAUGAGAGAUGAUUAUAUGCUUAUUGAGAUCAUACCUUAUUUAUGCGAAAUGCCUCCUAUACGGGAGAUGAUUAUAGAUAUGCUAUGGAUUUUAAAUAUGAUUAUAGAUAUGAGUUCUGGAUAUGUAUAUGGGCCGAAGGCCGUGAUUAUGUUAUUGUGAUUAUUCCGGACGUAUUAUUGGGACAAAGACCAUGUUAAGAUACUGGUUGGAUAUCCGAAAAGUCUUUAUUCUUGUAAAGGAUGUAGUUACAGUUUAUGAAUUUAUAUGUAUAUACAUAUACACAUCUCUCCGGUAUGGGACGGAGGAAGAUGUGGUAUGAUGCUUAUUGUUCCACUGACUGAAUACUGGUGAUGGCAUGCAUAAAUUCGGUACAUUCAUGAUUAUUAUAUCAAUGAUUGAUGUGAUUCUAUAUACGAUGCGAUCUUAUGACUGUUCUUCCUAAUUAAGGGUUAAGCUACGUGGUAAUUAGUUGCCUAUUAGAUGACUAUAGCACUUGAUGAUUAGGAGUCUAAUGAACUAGUUAAUGAACCUUGCUUAGUUGAAUUAUGGUACCUAGCGAUAGUUGAUGCAUGGUUAAUGGUGUUGUCGAGUUUAGCAUAUGUGAAGAUUAGUUGUUAUUAAUGAAUAAGUUUACGAUGCCGUUUAGUUGUUAAAUGGGGAUUUGUGUAUUAAUGAGGUUAGAUGAUAAAAGAGGUUAGUGAUAAGAGAUCACUAGUUAAUAAUGAUUAACGGAUAUAGGUUGAUAAGUGUUUGAAUGAUGAUAGUGGUCUUUUGCUAGAUGAUGACUAGUGAAUUAGCGAUGCAAUAAUGAGUAUCGGUUAGUUAACAAUGGGUAGAUAGAAUAUAUUGAUGAGAUAGUUAUAUUUAUGGUGUUACGUUUAUGGUUAUGGGUACUUGAUUUAUGUUAUUCUUUCGGCCGAAGGAUAUUAUGAUGAUAUUGAUACCCGGUUCGAGUCCGGAGGAUACUAUUGAGAUGGUAUUGAUACCUGGCAAGGCCGGAGGAUAUUAUGAUGAUAUUGAUACCUGGUUCGAGUCUGGAAGAUACUAUUGAGAUGAUAUUGAUACCCGGUAAGGCCAGAGGAUAUUGUGAUAAUAUUGAUACCCGAUUCGAGUUCGGAGGAUACUAUUGAGAUGAUAUUGAUACCCGGUAAGGCCAGAGGAUAUUGUGAUAAUAUUGAUACCCGAUUCGAGUCCAGAGGAUACUAUUGAGAUGAUAUUGAUACCCGGUGAGGCCUCCGGAGGUUGAUGACGAUGAUGAUGGUCCUGAUGAGGACAGUUAUGAUGUAUUGUGAUAUUGAUGGUAUAUUUUGCAUUCAUUCCUGCAUGCGCAUCGUCUAUCACCAGUAUGCACCUAUGUCUAUCAGCCGGUAUGGGACGGUUGCAUAGAUAUGAGUGAAGAAUAUGUCUUGUGUUAUUGUUUGUUGAUUGAACCUUCCGAGUCUGGGGCGGUGGGGUACGCAUAUGCUCGGCUAGGUAUUUGGUUGUCCAGAGUAUCCGGUUAUUCACUCUGAUAUUGAUAUUGUUAUUAUCAUUGUUAUGAUCAUUACUAUGACUAACUUAUGAUAGAUUGGUCAUUGAUCUAGUAUUGGGAUUUCAGGUAUGUAUUCGUGCUCUUCUAUCUUAUGAUUGCAUUUUUAUGCACGAUUAUAUCAUGUAUAGCCAUGCGGAUUAGAAACCCUGAGUAUGAUGGUAUUAAAUCCUGAUAAUAUUCUAAUGAGGCCUUAAUAUGAGAAUAUGAUGAUCUAGGUUAUGCUUUGAGAUGGACCCACGUUUAUAUGUAUAUAUAUAUAUAUAUA